This 168-nucleotide ribosomal RNA is filed under the name uncultured bacterium. RNAcentral's name for it is "partial 16S rRNA". It matches the Rfam family "Bacterial small subunit ribosomal RNA", at positions 355 to 514 of the family's 1533-position model. The record is from RNAcentral.
UAGGGAAUCUUCCACAAUGGACGAAAGUCUGAUGGAGCAACGCCGCGUGAGUGAAGAAGGGUUUCGGCUCGUAAAACUCUGUUGUUAAAGAAGAACAUAUCUGAGAGUAACUGUUCAGGUAUUGACGGUAUUUAACCAGAAAGCCCACGGCUAACUACGUGCCACCAG